RNAcentral lists this ribosomal RNA (484 nucleotides) under uncultured bacterium. RNAcentral's name for it is "partial 16S ribosomal RNA". It matches the Rfam family "Bacterial small subunit ribosomal RNA", at positions 30 to 507 of the family's 1533-position model. The record is from RNAcentral.
AUUGAACGCUGGCGGAAUGCUUUACACAUGCAAGUCGAACGGCAGCACGGGGGCAGCCCUGGUGGCGAGUGGCGAACGGGUGAGUAAUACAUCGGAACGUGCCCGGUCGUGGGGGAUAACGUAGCGAAAGUUACGCUAAUACCGCAUACGAUCUGAGGAUGAAAGCGGGGGACCUUCGGGCCUCGCGCGAUCGGAGUGGCCGAUGUCAGAUUAGGUAGUUGGUGGGGUAAAGGCCUACCAAGCCGACUAUCUGUAGCUGGUCUGAGAGGAAGACCAGCCACACUGGGACUGAGACACGGCCCAGACUCCUACGGGAGGCAGCAGUGGGGAAUUUUGGACAAUGGGCGCAAGCCUGAUCCAGCCAUUCCGCGUGCAGGACGAAGGCCUUCGGGUUGUAAACUGCUUUUGUACGGAACGAAAAGGCUCUGGCUAAUACCUGGGGCUCAUGACGGUACCGUAAGAAUAAGCACCGGCUAACUACGUG